Molecule: ribosomal RNA, 497 nt
Filed under: uncultured bacterium
Lineage: Bacteria
Description: partial 16S ribosomal RNA
Rfam family: Bacterial small subunit ribosomal RNA
Source: RNAcentral
GAUGAACGCUGGCGGCGUGCCUAAUACAUGCAAGUCGAGCGAAAAGAUGAGGAGCUUGCUCCUCUGACGUUAGCGGCGGACGGGCGAGUAACACGUGGAUAACCUACCUAUAAUACUGGGAGAACUACGGGAAACCGGAGAUAAUACCGGAUAAUAUAUUGUACCGCAUAGUUCAAUAGAGCAAGACGCCUUUCCCGUCUCUUUUAGAUGGUUCCGCGCCACCUUUGCUGGGUGGUAAGGUAACGGCUUACCAAGGAAACGUUGCGUAGCCGAGCUGAUGGGGUGGUCGGGCACCCCGGAACUGGGGCACGGUCCAGGCUCCUACGGGAGGCAGCAGUAGGGAAUCUUCCGCAAUUGGCGGAAACCUGGCGGCGCACAGCCGCGGGAGUGGUAAAAGUCUUCGGAUCUUAAAACUCUGUUAUUAGGGAAAAACAAGUGUGUAAGUAAUUAUGCGCGGCUUGACGGUACCUAAUCAGAUAGCCACGGCUAACUACGUG